Molecule: non-coding RNA, 641 nt
Organism: Camellia sinensis
Lineage: Eukaryota; Viridiplantae; Streptophyta; Magnoliopsida; Ericales; Theaceae
Source: RefSeq, a predicted model, not a curated record
ACCUAUCCUGGUUAGAAAAAUCCUGCGCUCUUGUUAGUUUUACUUUAAUCUGAAUUUUUUUGGAACUGCACGUCAUCCAUAAAAUUUUAUUUAGUUGCUCCAAUUUAGUGUACUAACAUGCCACCUCAACUUAAUGUUUCCAGGAGGAUUUUUUACCAAGAAUGCCAACCCCAUGGAACAUAUAUUUGAAUUGUUCUUCUGGCCCAAAAAAUGUCAUGACUAAAGAAAGAAAACUGUUGAGGUUUAUCUUCUGCUUGGGAAGUUUCAGAGGCAAGAAAACUGUUGAGGUUCGAUCUUCUGCUUGGGCAGUUUCAAAGGCAGCAAAAGCAUUUUUGAGCAAAUUGGAUUAUAACAAGAAUUAUUUUGUUCUAAUCCAACACUUUUUCUUCUUAUUUUUUUUUUUUAGCCCAAUUGAACGGCUCUGAAGAACAUUAAGAGUUUCAAGCACAAGAAAUGACGGGAAAAAAAAAAUUAGAAAUUCACUUGGUUGAGUUUAUUUUUUAGUUUCUUGUUGAUAGGAUUCACUUGGAUUUGACUUGUUCAACGUAGUUAGAUUUUUGGAAAGAUCAUAAAUCAUAACGAUGAACUAUUUAUAAAUGUCAUUGAAAACUAUUUGCGGCGGUAAUAAGAUGGUCGCUAAU